AUGUCUUCUCAAGAGUCAGUCGGGGAGAGCCGGGUGUCUCAUCCGGCAUCGAGACCAAGGACAAACAGCGAUGCUGACCACUUUGGGCCAGCAACGGAGGAAGAGAUGGAGGCUGAUUUGAUGAGGAUAGAUGCCAUGGAGGAGGAUCAAGAAGUCACUUCUCGCUUCCGAGCUGGAUUCACGAUGGGGGAACUACAGAGCUUAGCUAUUCCAAACUCGGUUAUCCCUUCCAAUGUUAGAUUUCUUUCUUAUGAAAAUAUCAAGAAGAGUGUUACUUGUUCUCCCGCAGCUAUGCAACACCCUUGGGUGCAAGGAGCUUUAGCCGUUACAGGAAAGCUUCGUAAGGAAAUAAUGGACCUCAAGCAGCAAGUCAAUAAGCUCGAGGAGGAGAAUCGUAUCGUGAGGGGCAUCAUCGCCAAGAAUAUUACACCAUCACCGAAAAAGGAGACAUAA
This 453-nucleotide ribosomal RNA is filed under the name Triticum aestivum (bread wheat). RNAcentral describes it as "partial small subunit ribosomal RNA". Lineage: Eukaryota; Viridiplantae; Streptophyta; Magnoliopsida; Poales; Poaceae. The record is from RNAcentral.